GCUUAGCCCUUAACAUAGACAAUACAAACACAAUAUUGUCCGCCAGAGAACUACAAGUGAAAAACUAGAAACUCCAAGGACUUGGCGGUGCCCCAUAUCAACCUAGAGGAGCCUGUCCUAUAAUCGAUAAUCCACGCUGUACCUUACCAUUUCUUGCAACUCAGCCUAUAUACCGCCGUCGAAAGCCUACCUUAUGAAAGAAACAAAGUAAGCAAAAUAGUCAACAACAAAAACGUCAGGUCAAGGUGUAGCAUAUGAAAUGGAAGAGAUGGGCUACAUUUUCUACCUCAGAAAACACGAACAGCACAAUGAAAUCUGUACUCAAAGGAGGAUUUAGCAGUAAGGCAAAAAAGAAACUUUACCUUAAACCCGCUCUGGAG
This 380-nucleotide ribosomal RNA is filed under the name Notomabuya frenata. RNAcentral describes it as "partial 12S ribosomal RNA". It matches the Rfam family "Bacterial small subunit ribosomal RNA", at positions 794 to 1379 of the family's 1533-position model. The record is from RNAcentral. Lineage: Eukaryota; Metazoa; Chordata; Lepidosauria; Squamata; Scincidae.